AACUAUGGAAUUCUCUAAAAUAGUGAACUAGUAACAACUUGUAUUGGAAUAUUGGAGGUGAGGGUCUAUCAUUACCCGCCGCCCCAUAAUCCACCUUGUCCUCAAGGUAGAAGUAUGAUUCAACUUUAAAAUUCAAAAUUUCAUGUAACUGCAUCAUUUCUUUGAUAAGAGUUCCACCAUGCCAAAUGCCGAAAUGCGAUAUUUUAGUCCACAUGCCGUUAAGAAGUUCUUGUGCCGACUGCCAACACUUAAAAUGUUAUUCGUGCAAAUCCCAUGACCAAU
RNAcentral lists this long non-coding RNA (282 nucleotides) under Olea europaea subsp. europaea. The record is from RNAcentral. Lineage: Eukaryota; Viridiplantae; Streptophyta; Magnoliopsida; Lamiales; Oleaceae.